GGGCCCGUAGCUCAGCCAGGCAGAGCGCCGGGCUCCAGACCCGGAGGUCCGGGGUUCGAAUCCCCGCGGGCCCACCA
This 77-nucleotide transfer RNA is filed under the name Pyrolobus fumarii 1A. RNAcentral's name for it is "tRNA-Trp (CCA) (tRNA-Trp-CCA-1-1)". It matches the Rfam family "tRNA". From Rfam's summary of the family: Transfer RNA (tRNA) molecules are approximately 80 nucleotides in length. Their secondary structure includes four short double-helical elements and three loops (D, anti-codon, and T loops). The record is from RNAcentral. RNAcentral also lists the same sequence under 2 other names. Lineage: Archaea; Thermoproteati; Thermoproteota; Thermoprotei; Desulfurococcales; Pyrodictiaceae.